RNAcentral lists this transfer RNA (86 nucleotides) under Trametes sanguinea. RNAcentral describes it as "tRNA-Ala". It matches the Rfam family "tRNA". Rfam says of the family: Transfer RNA (tRNA) molecules are approximately 80 nucleotides in length. Their secondary structure includes four short double-helical elements and three loops (D, anti-codon, and T loops). The record is from RNAcentral. Lineage: Eukaryota; Fungi; Basidiomycota; Agaricomycetes; Polyporales; Polyporaceae.
GGGCGCAUGGUGUAGUUGGUUAUCACAUCCGCUUAGCAUUCAUAUGCGUUUGCGGGGGGUGCUGGGUUCAAUUCCCAGUGCGUCCA